UACGAAGGGGGCUAGCGUUGCUCGGAAUCACUGGGCGUAAAGGGUGCGUAGGCGGGUUUUUAAGUCAGGGGUGAAAUCCUGGAGCUCAACUCCAGAACUGCCUUUGAUACUGAAGAUCUUGAGUCCGGGAGAGGUGAGUGGAACUGCGAGUGUAGAGGUGAAAUUCGUAGAUAUUGGGAAGAACACCGGUGGCGAAGGCGGCUCACUGGCUCAUUACUGACGCUCAGGCGCGACAGCGUGGGGGAGCAAACAGG
This 254-nucleotide ribosomal RNA is filed under the name uncultured bacterium. RNAcentral's name for it is "partial 16S ribosomal RNA". It matches the Rfam family "Bacterial small subunit ribosomal RNA", at positions 524 to 776 of the family's 1533-position model. The record is from RNAcentral.